UUCGCUCAUUUACAUUUGCAAUGCUAUACCAAAAGUCCCCCAUAGCCACCCACCCCCUCUCCCCUACCCACCCACUCCCCUUUUAUGGCCCUGGCGUUCCCCUGUACUGGGGCAUAUAAAGUUUGCGUGUCCAAUGGGCCUCUCUUUCCAGUGAUGGCCGGCUAGGCCAUCUUUUGAUGCAUAUGCAGCUAGAGUCAAGAGCUCCGGGGUACUGGUUAGUUCAUAAUGUUGUUCCACCUAUAGGGUUGCAGAUCCCUUUAGCUUCUUUGGUACUUUCUCUAGCUCCUUCAUUGGGGGCCAUGUGAUCCAUCCAAUAGCCGACUGUGAGCAUCCACUUCUAUGUUUGCUAGGCCCAGGCAUACUCUGACAAGAGACAGCUAUAUCAGGGUCCUUUCAGCAUAAUCUUGCUAGUGUAUGCAAUGGUGUCAGCAUUUGGAAGCUGAUUAUGGGAUGGAUCCCCGGAUAUGGUAGUGUCUACAUGGUCCAUCCUUUUAUCUCAGCUCCAAACUUUGUCUCUGUAACUCCUUCCAAGGGUGUUUUGUUCCCACUUCUAAGGAGGGGCAUAGUGUUCACACUUCAGUCUUCAUUGGUUUUGUUUUGUUUUAAAAACAAAGAAAGAACAUGAAGUUAAGUAAGGAAGGAGAAAAGGGAAAUCUGGGACAGGGAAAAGAAUAUGAUCAAAAUAUACUAUAUGAAAACAAAAUUCGAAUACAAAAUUUAAAAAUGGUCUAUUAAUUAUUAUAUUUUUAAUAUAUUCAAUUUUGCUACCUAGAAUUUUAUAAAAAUAAAUAUGACACAUGGAAUUAAAUUUACUGUUGCCAAUUUGUGCUUGGAAUCUAUUUUUCCAUGCAAAUAUUAGAAUAAAAGAAGUGACCACGACACAUUGGCAGAUAUGUUUAAUUUUAGUUUUAAAGUUUAUUUAAACACAAAAGGCAGAAAUCUGGGCCCUCAAAAACCACCAAGCAAUCAACAAGUCACAUUUUACAAACUUCACGUUCCACAUUCUCUCUUACCUGUUUUCCUCCAUUUCUCCAAGCUUUGUGUUUGGUGAUCGAGUCUCUGUGAACAGUUGAUAAUGGAUGAAACUCAAGGUGCUACCAUACUAUCAAGAGCAUGACUCAUCUUCUCAGUUUCUUAGUUUCUUCUGGAAUCAUCUGUUGUCUGCAGAAUAGCAGCCUGCGGUGCUGCCAUGCCUUCUGGGGAUUCUGGCUCUUGUUGGAUAUUGAUCACGUGAUUCUGUACUUGCAAGUUAUGGAGCUCAGCUUCCAAGAAAACUUCACUCCUUGGAAAUAAAUCAAGAGAUUCUGAUUGCUUAUGCUUCUAGCUACCCUUUAAAGACACUGGCCAUUAUAAUAUCCUAAUAAACUACUUCAUAGUUUCCAA
Molecule: long non-coding RNA, 1383 nt
Organism: Mus musculus (house mouse)
Lineage: Eukaryota; Metazoa; Chordata; Mammalia; Rodentia; Muridae
Product: predicted gene, 52338
Exons: 2
Source: RefSeq, a predicted model, not a curated record